GCCAGGCUCCUUCCGUGGUCCCGGCUCGCGUGGCGGCGGCGGCGGCGGCGGCGGCAGCGUCUCCCUGAGGGGGUGCGCGGGGCCAUGACGUCAGCGUCCACAAAGGUCGGGGAGAUCUUCUCUGCGGCGGGCGCCGCCUUCACGAAGCUCGGGGAGCUGACGAUGCAACUGCAUCCCGUGGCCGACUCUUCUCCCGCGGGAGCCAAGUGGACGGAGACCGAGAUAGAGAUGCUGAGGGCUGCUGUGAAACGAUUUGGGGACGAUCUUAAUCACAUCAGCUGUGUCAUCAAGGAACGGACCGUGGCUCAGAUAAAGGCCACUGUGAAACGCAAGGUGUAUGAAGACUCUGGCGUUGCGCUUCCAGCUGAGUCACCCAAGAAAGGGCCCAAGAAGGUGGCCUCUGGGGUCCUGUCGCCUCCCCCGGCUGCCCCCCCGCCCAGCAGCUGCAGCGUCCCUGAUGCCGGGGCCCCCCCUGUAAAGAAACAGAAGUCCGGUGAGGGCGGUGGAGUCGCUGCCUCGGCGCGAGAGGUCCCAUCUGAGGCUCAACGUGACUCUCAGUGCUCUGAACGACUCGGACGCCAACAGUGACCUGGUGGAUAUUGAAGGGCUGGGAGAAACUCCGGCCAAGAAACUCAACUUCCACCAGGACAGCCUGACCCUGGGUUCUGGCCGCCUAAAGACCUGCGCUGAAGCUCCUUUGCUCUCCUGCUGACCUCCCACCUCCGAGCCCUCUCACCGUUCGCCUGGACCUGUGGAUCGCCUGGGACUCUGAGCGAGGCCUGCCCGAGAGAGGCGCAGAGGCUGCUGGGGCUGGCCGCCUGGCUGGUCCUGGACGAGCAUCCGCCCCAAGCCCUUUGACCUCUGUCUGAUGGACAUUUUUAUACAGAAAACAAUAAAGAUUUGUCUCUCA
This is an RNA transcript of Lepus europaeus (European hare), 910 nucleotides long. It is a transcript of the gene named chromosome 18 C17orf49 homolog, with no coding region annotated. The transcript has 6 exons. The record is from RefSeq and is a predicted model, not a curated record. NCBI's taxonomy places the organism in Eukaryota, Metazoa, Chordata, Mammalia, Lagomorpha, Leporidae.